CCUACGGGAGGCUGCAGUGAGGAAUAUUGGUCAAUGGACGAGAGUCUGAACCAGCCAAGUAGCGUGAAGGAUGACUGCCCUAUGGGUUGUAAACUUCUUUUAUAAAGGAAUAAAACGAGGCACGUGUGCCUUUUUGCAUGUACUUUAUGAAUAAGGAUCGGCUAACUCCGUGCCAGCAGCCGCGGGAAUACGGAGGAGCCGAGCGUUAUCCGGAUUUAUUGGGUUUAAAGGGAGCGUAGAUGGGUUGUUAAGUCAGUUGUGAAAGUUUGCGGCUCAACCGUAAAAUUGCAAUUGAUACUGGCAGUCGUGAGUACAGUUGAGGUAGGCGGAAUUCGUGGUGUAGCGGUGAAAUGCUUAGAUAUCACGAAGAACCCCGAUUGCGAAGGCAGCUUACUAAACUGUGACUGACAUUGAUGCUCGAAAGUGUGGGUAUCAAACAGGAUUAGAUACCCCAGUAGUC
RNAcentral lists this ribosomal RNA (460 nucleotides) under uncultured bacterium. RNAcentral's name for it is "partial 16S ribosomal RNA". It matches the Rfam family "Bacterial small subunit ribosomal RNA", at positions 338 to 795 of the family's 1533-position model. The record is from RNAcentral.